This 1307-nucleotide ribosomal RNA is filed under the name Nocardia cyriacigeorgica. RNAcentral's name for it is "bacterial SSU rRNA". It matches the Rfam family "Bacterial small subunit ribosomal RNA", at positions 102 to 1422 of the family's 1533-position model. Lineage: Bacteria; Bacillati; Actinomycetota; Actinomycetes; Mycobacteriales; Nocardiaceae. The record is from RNAcentral.
ACGGGUGAGUAACACGUGGGUGAUCUGCCUCGCACUCUGGGAUAAGCCUGGGAAACUGGGUCUAAUACCGGAUAUGACCUUACAUCGCAUGGUGUUUGGUGGAAAGAUUUAUCGGUGCGAGAUGGGCCCGCGGCCUAUCAGCUUGUUGGUGGGGUAAUGGCCUACCAAGGCGACGACGGGUAGCCGGCCUGAGAGGGCGACCGGCCACACUGGGACUGAGACACGGCCCAGACUCCUACGGGAGGCAGCAGUGGGGAAUAUUGCACAAUGGGCGAAAGCCUGAUGCAGCGACGCCGCGUGAGGGAUGACGGCCUUCGGGUUGUAAACCUCUUUCGACAGGGACGAAGCGCAAGUGACGGUACCUGUAGAAGAAGCACCGGCCAACUACGUGCCAGCAGCCGCGGUAAUACGUAGGGUGCGAGCGUUGUCCGGAAUUACUGGGCGUAAAGAGCUUGUAGGCGGCUUGUCGCGUCGAUCGUGAAAACUUGGGGCUCAACCCCAAGCUUGCGGUCGAUACGGGCAGGCUUGAGUACUUCAGGGGAGACUGGAAUUCCUGGUGUAGCGGUGAAAUGCGCAGAUAUCAGGAGGAACACCGGUGGCGAAGGCGGGUCUCUGGGAAGUAACUGACGCUGAGAAGCGAAAGCGUGGGUAGCGAACAGGAUUAGAUACCCUGGUAGUCCACGCCGUAAACGGUGGGUACUAGGUGUGGGUUUCCUUCCACGGGAUCCGUGCCGUAGCUAACGCAUUAAGUACCCCGCCUGGGGAGUACGGCCGCAAGGCUAAAACUCAAAGGAAUUGACGGGGGCCCGCACAAGCGGCGGAGCAUGUGGAUUAAUUCGAUGCAACGCGAAGAACCUUACCUGGGUUUGACAUACACCGGAAACCUGCAGAGAUGUAGGCCCCCUUGUGGUCGGUGUACAGGUGGUGCAUGGCUGUCGUCAGCUCGUGUCGUGAGAUGUUGGGUUAAGUCCCGCAACGAGCGCAACCCUUAUCUUAUGUUGCCAGCGCGUAAUGGCGGGGACUCGUGAGAGACUGCCGGGGUCAACUCGGAGGAAGGUGGGGACGACGUCAAGUCAUCAUGCCCCUUAUGUCCAGGGCUUCACACAUGCUACAAUGGCCGGUACAGAGGGCUGCGAUACCGUGAGGUGGAGCGAAUCCCUUAAAGCCGGUCUCAGUUCGGAUCGGGGUCUGCAACUCGACCCCGUGAAGUUGGAGUCGCUAGUAAUCGCAGAUCAGCAACGCUGCGGUGAAUACGUUCCCGGGCCUUGUACACACCGCCCGUCACGUCAUGAAAGUCGGUAACACCC